ACACACCCUCGGAUUGACGUGCGCACGCGCACCGGUUACCUUCAGGAGCGCCGAAGAAGGAAAGAAGAACACAGAGCCCGAGGCAAAGCUUAAGUGCUUACGCUUUUGUCGGGAGGUACAGACCCAGCUCUGCGAGAGCCAGGGGAAAAGGAAGAGAGGCAGGGAAGGAAUGGCAGCAAGUACAAGGUGAUGAAUGACUGCACUGGCCAUUGCUUCAUGAAGAGCCACGAAAAAACAGAGCCGGUUUCUCAGCAGGUGGCUGGCUGCUCAGUCACAAAGGACCUCUUUGGACAGGCUUUAUGGAAAUACUGUGCCUAGGACAGUCGCUCAAAGGCAGGAGGGAGAGAAAAUGCAUCUGCAAGCUCACUUUGUCUUCUUUCUUCUGCUGGUCAAAAUUUGCUGGCUGGGGCAGUUAACGCCCUCACACAUCCGAGUUGUGUCACCUGGCCCCUUUGGUAGCCACUGGGGAAGCCAGAUCUAGGCAUGUGGCCUGAUGGCUCCUGCGGUGGAACCACAUGCUCACACUCAGUCAGUCACCACUGGGAUGCCCUGGGCAGGGCAGGCUGAGUGGCUGGGAGAUAGCUGAGCCUAAGAUAUCUAAGCAAGCACCUGUGAUGUAUGCACUGCAGUGUCCAAAUGUGAAAAAGCAAGAAAGGGAGAUAGAAGCAUAUUUUUUUCUGGAGAGAAGGAGGAAACCACCAGGAGAAUACAAACAGAAAAAAGACAUGCUCAUCAUGCCCUGCAAACUCCUAUGAACUGGAACUACAGCAGCUGUUCUGCCAGGGACAGGUUCUUCUCUAAAGUUCCAGCUCUCUGGAGGGAGAAAGCCCUGACUUUGGAUGGAGUUGAGCUCUGUCGCCCAGGCUGGAGUGCAGUGGCACCAUCUCAGCUGACUGUGACCUCCGCCUCCUGGGUUCAAGUGAUUCUCCUGCAUCAGCCUCCCGAGUAGCUGGGACUACAGGUGCACACCACCAUGCCCGGCUAAUUUUUGUAUUUUUAGUAGAGACGGGGUUUUGCCAUGAUGGCCAGGUUUGGUCUCAAACUCCUAACCUCAAGUGAUCCACCCUCCUCAGCCUCCCAAAGUGCUGGGAUUACAGGCGUGAGCCACUGCGCCCCGCCUACUUGAAUUUUUUUUUUUUUUUUUUUUUUUGAGACAGAGUUUUGCUCCUGUUGCCCAGGCUGGAGUGCAACGGCAUGAUCUCGACUCACUGCAACCUCUGCCUCCUGGGUUCAAGUGAUUCUCCUGCCUCAGCCUCCCAAAUAGCUGGGAUUACAGGUGCCCACCACUGUGCCUGGCUGAUUGUAUUUUUAGUAGAGAUGGGGUUUCAUCAUGUUGGUCAGGCUGGUCUUGAACUCCAGACCUCAGGUGAUCGGACUGCCUCGGCCUCCCAAAGUGCUGGGAUUACAGGCAUGACCCACUGUGCCCGGACCUGCUUGAAUUUUUAUGAUGAGCAUGUUGGCAGAUCACGACUGCCAGCUCCGUGACAGCAAGAACCUUGUAUGACUUUUUCAUGAUGGAUGUUCAUCUGUGCCAUCUGUAAAUAUUGAAUAAAUAUUUGUGGAAUACAUGAAUCUAAAAGUGAAUGGAAUGAUAAAGAGGGAAAGGGUCAUGACAUCUACUACAGCAUUUGGCACAGACCCAGCUGUCUGCAGUACUAUCAAGAGAUGACAUGGACUUCAAGGAUCAAACAGGGGAGAAAAAGGCUUAAAAGAAAAACAAGUCUCCAUCAAAGGUAAUAACCACAAUGAGAACUAUACAUAGCUAUGUGCUUAUAGGUCUUAGUUCACAUUCCCCUCAUUAAAAUUAUAGCUCAAGAAAUAAAGGGCUGUUUAAUGACUUGGGUAUAUAAAUAUACUUCAUUUGUAUAUUUUUUACUUGCUAAAAUCUAUCCAAAUUGGUAUUACCUCAAACCAUAAUCUUCUACUGUAUUUUAUAAUUUUACUUUAUUGCCAUGUAUUUUUCCCACUGAUGUUCACAAAUUCACAGGAAACAUCAGCCAUGUACUAAAUAAAAUAUGAAUUGAAUCG
This 2028-nucleotide long non-coding RNA is filed under the name Homo sapiens (human). Its description in RNAcentral is "non-protein coding LINC01124:10". The record is from RNAcentral. Lineage: Eukaryota; Metazoa; Chordata; Mammalia; Primates; Hominidae.